CACAUGACAGUCGAACGAUGAACUGGAGCUUGCUCCAGGGAUUAGUGGCGAACGGGUGAGUAACACGUGAGUAACCUGCCCUUGACUCUGGGAUAAGCGCUAGAAAUGGCGUCUAAUACCGGAUACGAGCUUCAGCCGCAUGGCUAGGAGUUGGAAAGAAUUUUGGUCAAGGAUGGACUCGCGGCCUAUCAGCUAGUUGGUGAGGUAAUGGCUCACCAAGGCGACGACGGGUAGCCGGCCUGAGAGGGUGACCGGCCACACUGGGACUGAGACACGGCCCAGACUCCUACGGGAGGCAGCAGUGGGGAAUAUUGCACAAUGGGCGAAAGCCUGAUGCAGCAACGCCGCGUGAGGGAUGACGGCCUUCGGGUUGUAAACCUCUUUUAGUAGGGAAGAAGCGAAAGUGACGGUACCUGCAGAAAAAGCACCGGCUAACUACGUGCCAGCAGCCGCGGUAAUACGUAGGGUGCAAGCGUUGUCCGGAAUUAUUGGGCGUAAAGAGCUCGUAGGCGGUUUGUCGCGUCUGCUGUGAAAUCUGGGGGCUCAACCCCCAGCCUGCAGUGGGUACGGGCAGACUAGAGUGCGGUAGGGGAGAUUGGAAUUCCUGGUGUAGCGGUGGAAUGCGCAGAUAUCAGGAGGAACACCGAUGGCGAAGGCAGAUCUCUGGGCCGUAACUGACGCUGAGGAGCGAAAGCAUGGGGAGCGAACAGGAUUAGAUACCCUGGUAGUCCAUGCCGUAAACGUUGGGAACUAGAUGUGGGGGCCAUUCCACGGUCUCCGUGUCGCAGCUAACGCAUUAAGUUCCCCGCCUGGGGAGUACGGCCGCAAGGCUAAAACUCAAAGGAAUUGACGGGGGCCCGCACAAGCGGCGGAGCAUGCGGAUUAAUUCGAUGCAACGCGAAG
This 903-nucleotide ribosomal RNA is filed under the name Frigoribacterium sp. PDD-63b-19. RNAcentral describes it as "bacterial SSU rRNA". It matches the Rfam family "Bacterial small subunit ribosomal RNA", at positions 52 to 966 of the family's 1533-position model. Lineage: Bacteria; Bacillati; Actinomycetota; Actinomycetes; Micrococcales; Microbacteriaceae. The record is from RNAcentral.